Non-coding RNA from Xylaria sp. FL0064, 72 nucleotides. Lineage: Eukaryota; Fungi; Ascomycota; Sordariomycetes; Xylariales; Xylariaceae. The record is from the annotation of a GenBank genome assembly.
CAUGUAAUAGUGUAGUUGGUUAUCACGUCAGUCCGACACACUGAAGGUCUCCGGUUCAUGUCCGUUGGAGGG